RNAcentral lists this ribosomal RNA (385 nucleotides) under uncultured Lachnospiraceae bacterium. Its description in RNAcentral is "bacterial SSU rRNA". It matches the Rfam family "Bacterial small subunit ribosomal RNA", at positions 355 to 755 of the family's 1533-position model. Lineage: Bacteria; Bacillati; Bacillota; Clostridia; Lachnospirales; Lachnospiraceae. The record is from RNAcentral.
UGGGGAAUAUUGGGGCAAUGGGACGCAAGUCUGACCCAGCAACGCCGCGUGAAGGAAGAAGUAUUUCGGUAUGUAAAGCUCUAUCAGCAGGGAAGAAAAUGACGGUACCUGACUAAGAAGCCCCGGCUAACUACGUGCCAGCAGCCGCGGUAAUACGUAGGGGGCAAGCGUUAUCCGGAUUUACUGGGUGUAAAGGGAGCGCAGGCGGUCCUGCAAGUCUGAUGUGAAAGCCCGGGGCUCAACCCCGGGACUGCAUUGGAAACUGUGGGACUUGAGUGUCGGAGGGGCAAGUGGAAUUCCUAGUGUAGCGGUGAAAUGCGUAGAUAUUAGGAGGAACACCAGUGGCGAAGGCGGCUUGCUGGACGACAACUGACGCUGAGGCUCG